RNAcentral lists this ribosomal RNA (500 nucleotides) under uncultured bacterium. RNAcentral's name for it is "bacterial SSU rRNA". It matches the Rfam family "Bacterial small subunit ribosomal RNA", at positions 28 to 530 of the family's 1533-position model. The record is from RNAcentral.
GAUGAACGCUGGCGGCGUGCCUCAAACAUGCAAGUCGAGCGGGGCUAUGUAAUAUCGCAAGGUAGAACAUAGCCUAGCGGCGAACGGGUGAGUAACACGUGGGUAACCUGCCUGGAAGACAGGGAUAACGAUUCGAAAGGGUCGCUAAUACCUGAUAAUAUCCUUUCAUCGCAUGGUGAUAGGAAGAAAGGGGAAACCCGCUUUCAGAUGGGCCCACGUCCCAUCAGCUAGUUGGUAAGGUAAAGGCUUACCAAGGCGACGACGGGUAGCCGGUCUGAGAGGAUGUACGGCCACACUGGGACUGAGAUACGGCCCAGACUCCUACGGGAGGCAGCAGUUGGGAAUCUUAGGCAAUGGACGAAAGUCUGACCUAGCGACGCCGCGUGAGGGAAAAGGCCUUCGGGUUGUAAACCUCUGUCAUGGGGGAAGAAGUAAGUGACGGUACCCAAGAGGAAGCCCCUGCUAACUACGUGCCAGCCAGCCGCGGUAAAAGUCUCUAU